UUGGCUUUUUCUCGAGACGUGAGCGUGAGCUGCCUGUGAUGGCAUUAGUCGAACCUAGACCAUGUGCGUUGGAAACAAUAAUGAAUUAUAGCAGCGAAUUCGUCAAUGAAGAGGCUGUUUCUUGGCUACAGUCGCAUGGAAUGAGACUUAAGAAAGGAAAGGUAGGCAAAAGAAAUUUCUUAACAACGUAUUUUACUGCAACUUUACAUUCACAAACUUGACCGCUCCAUUGAUCUUUGUUCGUAUCUUAUCUUGCAGAAAAAGACGGUUGCGAUGGCCAAGAUCUCCUUGACAUCGCCCAAGAUGCAGACGUACCAAGGCACUACAUCCCUAUUAUAAAAGAGCGUCUAAAGCUCAAGAAAUUGAUUGCAAUGAACGUUGAACCUGGAGAUGACACGAGUUCUUCGUCGCGUGCAGAAUCAAGUCCUUCGAGUAAGACGGUUCAAACGUCGAUUGAUGAUUCAGAUAACAUCAGCGAUUAUGAAAAUUUAGAGGUGACAUUGGCACCGAAAGAAAAGGGUAAAUCGCCCAAGGAUCUCUGUUUUACGGACGAGGCGACAGAACUGAGCACUGUCUAAGUAAGUUCUUGUAUAUUAAACUUAGCAGGAUGGUGAAGAGUACAUUAUCGAUUACUUUCUUUCGAUUAUAUCCUAAAGGAAAACACACAAGGUGCCAGUUGGUCAGUUAAAGAUGACAAAUCUCGGGGAUUGCACCUACAAAAAUGGCGAGAUUUGCUUUAUUUUUAUUGAAAUAUAUUAGAUAUGUAUUUACUUGCACCAUGCAUAAAACAAAGUAAACCCAAUUUUUAAAUCUGGUAAAUUAAAAAAUUAGUGAAUUGAUAGGAUGUUAUCAGACAGUUUAAUUUUUUUGAAAACAAAUAUUUACCUACAGGUUCCUCUUGAAUGGCUUUCAAAAUUCCAACUACCAUGGAGGUUCUCUGCCUCAGUAGAGUUGGAUACCCAGAAGGGAUAUCUCAUCAGCAGCCUAAAGUACUCUGAGCAACAGUGGAUUGCAAAAAAAAAUUAUUGCAGAGUAUCCCUGUAAGGGUAGCAGGAUACUAGACUAAGUUGACUUGGAAACUGAAUGGAUUGGUAUGGUCUA
Long non-coding RNA from Pocillopora damicornis (cauliflower coral), 1101 nucleotides. Lineage: Eukaryota; Metazoa; Cnidaria; Anthozoa; Scleractinia; Pocilloporidae. The record is from RefSeq and is a predicted model, not a curated record.